RNAcentral lists this ribosomal RNA (700 nucleotides) under uncultured bacterium. RNAcentral describes it as "bacterial SSU rRNA". It matches the Rfam family "Bacterial small subunit ribosomal RNA", at positions 44 to 775 of the family's 1533-position model. The record is from RNAcentral.
GGGCCUAACACAUGCAAGUCGAACGAAGUCUUCGGACUUAGUGGCGCACGGGUGAGUAACGCGUGGGAACCUACCCCUAGGUACGGAAUAACUUCUGGAAACGGAAGCUAAUACCGUAUGUGCCCUUUCACCAUGGAGGUGAUUGGGGAAAGAUUUAUCGCCUUGGGAUGGGCCCGCGUUGGAUUAGCUUGUUGGUGAGGUAACGGCUCACCAAGGCUGCGAUCGGUAGCUGGUCUGAGAGGAUGAUCAGCCACACUGGGACUGAGACACGGCCCAGACUCCUACGGGAGGCAGCAGUGGGGAAUAUUGGACAAUGGGGGCAACCCUGAUCCAGCCAUGCCGCGUGAGUGACGAAGGCCUUAGGGUUGUAAAGCUCUUUCACCCGUGAAGAUGAUGACGGUAGCGGGAGAAGAAGCCCCGGCUAACUCCGUGCCAGCAGCCGCGGUAAUACGGAGGGGGCGAGCGUUGUUCGGAAUUACUGGGCGUAAAGGGCGCGUAGGCGGCCGGUUUCGUUAGGUGUGAAAGCCCCGGGCUCAACCUGGGAACUGCACUUAAUACGGGCUGGCUCGAGAGCGGGAGAGGAGUGUGGAAUUCCCAGUGUAGAGGUGAAAUUCGUAGAUAUUGGGAAGAACACCGGUGGCGAAGGCGGCACUCUGGCCCGUUUCUGACGCUGAGGCGCGAAAGCGUGGGGAGCAAACAG